AUGAUGAUGAUGAUGAUGGUGAUGGUGAUGAUGAUGAUAAUGAUGGUGAUGAUGAUGAUGGUGAUGAUGGCAAUGAUGGUGAUGGUGAUGGCAAUGAUGGUGAUGGUGAUGGCGAUGAUGGUGAUGGUGAUGGCGAUGAUGGUGAUGGUGAUGGCGAUGAUGGUGAUGGUGAUGGUGAUGGCGAUGAUGGUGAUGGUGAUGGUGUCAUCUCAUUUUUCUGGUCUUUAAUCUACUCAUGUAUAAAAUGUGAUGACAUGUUGCUGCAAAGUUUAUGAAGUCCUCUAUACCCAUUAUCUCAGAUGAGUCUCACAAGAACACAUGAAGAAACUGAGGCUCAUAGACAUGAUGUGACUUGCCCCAUGGUCCUACAACUAGGAGGAGUUAAAGGGAGGAGUGGAACCCAGAUCUAAGGCUGGAAAAUGACAUACAGAGAGUCAGAGAGACUUGCCUAGGGAGCAACUGUGUGUUGCUUAUUGUGCAGAUAUCUCAGUUCUAAAAAGUUAACCAAGCUGGGCUAUGUAACUAUACUGUGCAUCCAUUCUCCUGAUUCCUACUUUAAGGUUCCUUCCCCUAUAAGGAUGUUUCUCCCCUUCUCUGAAAGGAAGUCACAUUCAGGAAAUGCCUGCUGUUUUGAAGGGAUCCUGCCUAAGUUAUUCUGAGAUUCUUGAUGUUAAGUUAGAACAGAUCCCAGGGGAAAUGGAGUCAUUUUGCAGAAGAGUAAACUGAGGUCUCAGUGGGUAAACUGACUUGCUUAGCCAGUAAAUUAUAAGCCAGGAUUCUCUUUCUCCACAUUGAGCAGCCUAGAGGUAGAGAAAGGUUCCCCACAGAGGGACUGGGGAUCCCUUUGUAUUUGCCUUUCUAGGAGAGACCCUGGCAAGAGCUUGGUUAGGGGAGUUAUUUUGGUCUUGUCAUGAUUGGGAGCUUUGAAGGCAAGAAAUUGAGUGGUGAUUAAGGCCAUAAUAAGUUGACACCAUCAAAUAUCAUUACCCACAGAACAUGCAAAUGAUCAUGUCUUUAGACGGGAUUUGCCAUGCAAAUACCAAUUAGUGAGAAAUGACUUGCCUUCAGAAGGGGAGAUUUGUUCUUCUCACAUCUCCUGCUCCUCCUGCAACCCCUUCCCCAGUCCUGUCCUUCACUUCCUGCAGACAAACAAACAGGAAAUAAAUGUCAGAGUCCCUGGCA
RNAcentral lists this long non-coding RNA (1182 nucleotides) under Monodelphis domestica (gray short-tailed opossum). RNAcentral's name for it is "lncRNA (ENSMODG00000039045.1)". Lineage: Eukaryota; Metazoa; Chordata; Mammalia; Didelphimorphia; Didelphidae. The record is from RNAcentral.